This 253-nucleotide ribosomal RNA is filed under the name uncultured bacterium. Its description in RNAcentral is "partial 16S ribosomal RNA". It matches the Rfam family "Bacterial small subunit ribosomal RNA", at positions 524 to 776 of the family's 1533-position model. The record is from RNAcentral.
UACGGAGGGUGCAAGCGUUGCUCAGAAUUAUUGGGCGUAAAGGGCAGGUAGGUGGUCUCAUUUGUCUGGGGUGAAAUCCUUGGGCUUAACUCAAGAAGUGCCCCAGAAACGGUGAGACUAGAGUACUGGAGAGGGUCGUGGAAUUCCCGGUGUAGCGGUGAAAUGCGUAGAGAUCGGGAGGAACACCAGAGGCGAAGGCGGCGACCUGGACAGUUACUGACACUCAACUGCGAAAGCGUGGGGAGCAAACAGG